CUCAGAUGAACGCCGCCGGCAUGCCUUACACAUGCAAGUCGAACGGCAGCACGGGUGCUUGCACUGGCGGCGAGUGGCGAACCGGUGAGUAAUACAUCGGAACAUGUCCUGUAGUGGGGGAUAGCCCGGCGAAAGCCGGAUUAAUACCGCAUACGAUCUAUGGAUGAAAGCGGGGGACCUUCGGGCCUCGCGCUAUAGGGUUGGCCGAUGGCUGAUAGCUAGUUGGUGGGGUAAAGGCCUACCAAGGCGACGAUCAGUAGCUGGUCUGAGAGGACGACCAGCCACACUGGGACUGAGACACGGCCCAGACUCCUACGGGAGGCAGCAGUGGGGAAUUUUGGACAAUGGGCGAAAGCCUGAUCCAGCAAUGCCGCGUGUGUGAAGAAGGCCUUCGGGUUGUAAAGCACUUUUGUCCGGAAAGAAAUCCUUGGCUCUAAUACAGNCGGGGGAUGACGGUACCGGAAGAAUAAGCACCGGCUAACUACGUGCCAGCAGCCGCGGUAAUACGUAGGGUGCAAGCGUUAAUCGGAAUUACUGGGCGUAAAGCGUGCGCAGGCGGUUUGCUAAGACCGAUGUGAAAUCCCCGGGCUCAACCUGGGAACUGCAUUGGUGACUGGCAGGCUAGAGUAUGGCAGAGGGGGGUAGAAUUCCACGUGUAGCAGUGAAAUGCGUAGAGAUGUGGAGGAAUACCGAUGGCGAAGGCAGCCCCCUGGGCCAAUACUGACGCUCAUGCACGAAAGCGUGGGGAGCAAACAGGAUUAGAUACCCUGGUAGUCCACGCCCUAAACGAUGUCAACUAGUUGUUGGGGAUUCAUUUCCUUAGUAACGUAGCUAACGCGUGAAGUUGACCGCCUGGGGAGUACGGUCGCAAGAUUAAAACUCAAAGGAAUUGACGGGGACCCGCACAAGCGGUGGAUGAUGUGGAUUAAUUCGAUGCAACGCGAAAAACCUUACCUACCCUUGACAUGGUCGGAAUCCUGAAGAGAUUCGGGAGUGCUCGAAAGAGAACCGGCGCACAGG
Molecule: ribosomal RNA, 1020 nt
Filed under: Burkholderia vietnamiensis
Lineage: Bacteria; Pseudomonadati; Pseudomonadota; Betaproteobacteria; Burkholderiales; Burkholderiaceae
Description: bacterial SSU rRNA
Rfam family: Bacterial small subunit ribosomal RNA
Source: RNAcentral